UCAGGUGGCCGCAGAGAAUAGGCCCAAGCGACUGUUUACCAAAAACAUAGGUUUCUGCUAAGUCGCAAGACGAUGUAUAGGAGCUGACGCCUGCCCGGUGCUGGAAGGUUAAGGGGAUCUGUUAGAGCAAUCGAAGCAGUGAACUUAAGCCCCAGUAAACGGCGGCCGUAACUAUAACGGUCCUAAGGUAGCGAAAUUCCUUGUCGGGUAAGUUCCGACCCGCACGAAAGGCGUAACGAUUUGGGCACUGUCUCAACAACAGACUCGGUGAAAUUGUAAUUCCGGUGAAGAUGCCGGAUACCUGCGACAGGACGGAAAGACCCCAUGGAGCUUUACUGUAGCUUGACAUUGGGUCUUGGUACUACAUGUACAGGAUAGGUGGGAGGCUUUGAAACCAGGACGACAGUUUUGGCGGAGCCAUCCUUGGGAUACCACCCUUGUAGUACUGGGACUCUAACCAUAGGCCAUGAAUCUGGUCUUGGGACACUGUCAGGUGGGCAGUGUGACUGGGGCGGUCGCCUCCCAAAAGG
This 530-nucleotide ribosomal RNA is filed under the name Clostridioides difficile. RNAcentral's name for it is "bacterial LSU rRNA". It matches the Rfam family "Bacterial large subunit ribosomal RNA", at positions 1769 to 2297 of the family's 2925-position model. The record is from RNAcentral. Lineage: Bacteria; Bacillati; Bacillota; Clostridia; Peptostreptococcales; Peptostreptococcaceae.